UGAUAACAGUCCCUACUUCCUAGGCCA
This 27-nucleotide non-coding RNA is filed under the name Rattus norvegicus (Norway rat). The record is from RNAcentral. Lineage: Eukaryota; Metazoa; Chordata; Mammalia; Rodentia; Muridae.